AAAUUGAAGAGUUUGAUCAUGGCUCAGAUUGAACGCUGGCGGCAGGCCUAACACAUGCAAGUCGAACGGUAACAGGAAACAGCUUGCUGUUUCGCUGACGAGUGGCGGACGGGUGAGUAAUGUCUGGGAAGCUGCCUGAUGGAGGGGGAUAACUACUGGAAACGGUAGCUAAUACCGCAUAACGUCGCAAGACCAAAGAGGGGGACC
RNAcentral lists this ribosomal RNA (207 nucleotides) under Escherichia coli. RNAcentral's name for it is "partial 16S ribosomal RNA". It matches the Rfam family "Bacterial small subunit ribosomal RNA", at positions 1 to 215 of the family's 1533-position model. Lineage: Bacteria; Pseudomonadati; Pseudomonadota; Gammaproteobacteria; Enterobacterales; Enterobacteriaceae. The record is from RNAcentral.